GAUGAUAGAGGCGCAGAGCUCAUCAGUAACCCCGCGGAGGCGUCAGCCGCCUGUGAUGCCGGGCGAAAGGGUGUUCUGCCGAAACGUCUCGCCAGCUGUUUGGCGCGGCGUUGGGCGCCGGGACAACAUCCCUGCGACUGUCACAUUGCGUGGAGUGCUAUCGUU
RNAcentral lists this non-coding RNA (165 nucleotides) under chicken gut metagenome. Its description in RNAcentral is "Lysine riboswitch". It matches the Rfam family "Lysine riboswitch aptamer". Rfam says of the family: Riboswitches are metabolite binding domains within certain messenger RNAs that serve as precision sensors for their corresponding targets. Allosteric rearrangement of mRNA structure is mediated by ligand binding, and this results in modulation of gene expression. The record is from RNAcentral.